GCAGUUCCAGCGCCAGCUGUCCCUGGAGUGGUGGGAGCUGCCGGUGGCCCCAGGCACUGUCCCCUGAGGAGCUGCUGAAGGACGCUGCCCUGAAGACCGUGAGGCCUGCCAGACACUGCCAGGAGCCAGCAGGGAGAAGCUGAAGGCCACGAGCAAGAGCAGCGAACAGGGAGCUGCUGCUGCUGCCACCCCGAGAGCCUGGAUGUCCCAUCUGCUGUCCUUGUCCAGGAGAGCUGCUCUGCACGGUUGGAAGAGACUGAGGGAGAGGCUUUGAAGAUGGGGGAGCUGAGUUCCCUCUGUUUAAAGAAGAACGGACUCAUGCAUAAAGAGG
Molecule: long non-coding RNA, 331 nt
Organism: Poecile atricapillus (Black-capped chickadee)
Lineage: Eukaryota; Metazoa; Chordata; Aves; Passeriformes; Paridae
Exons: 3
Source: RefSeq, a predicted model, not a curated record